Molecule: ribosomal RNA, 530 nt
Filed under: uncultured delta proteobacterium
Lineage: Bacteria; Deltaproteobacteria
Description: bacterial SSU rRNA
Rfam family: Bacterial small subunit ribosomal RNA
Source: RNAcentral
GUUUGAUCCUGGCUCAGAGCGAACGUUAGCGGCGGGCCUAACACAUGCAAGUCGAGCGAGAAAAGGGCUUCGGCCCUUAGUAAAGCGGCGGACGGGUGAGUAACACGUAGGUAAUCUUCCCUUGAGCGGGGGACAACGAGCCGAAAGGCUCGCUAAUACCGCAUACGUUUCUCGGGACUCCGGUCCUGGGAAGGAAAGCUAGGCCGCAAGGUCCGGCACUCGAGGAGGAGCCUGCGUCGCAUCAGCUAGUUGGUGGGGUAACGGCCUACCAAGGCGAAGACGCGUAGCUGGUCUGAGAGGAUGAUCAGCCACACUGAAACUGAGACACGGUUCAGACUCCUACGGGAGGCAGCAGUGGGGAAUAUUGGACAAUGGGCGCAAGCCUGAUCCAGCCACGCCGCGUGAGUGAUGAAGGCCUUCGGGUCGUAAAGCUCUGUGGGGAGGGACGAACCGCCGUUGGUUCAUAGCCAACGGCAUGACGGUACCUCCUUAGCAAGCACCGGCUAACUUCGUGCCAGCAGCCGCGGUAA